GGAGUUAGCCGGUGCUUCUUCUGUGAGUGAUGUCCUUCCUGCCGGCUAUUAACCCGCAGGCCUUCUUCCUCACUGAAAGUGCUUUACAACCCGAAGGCCUUCUUCACACACGCGGCAUGGCUGGAUCAGGGUUGCCCCCAUUGUCCAAUAUUCCCCACUGCUGCCUCCCGUAGGAGUCUGGGCCGUGUCUCAGUCCCAGUGUGGCUGAUCAUCCUCUCAGACCAGCUACGGAUCGUCGCCUUGGUGAGCCGUUACCUCACCAACCAGCUAAUCCGACAUAGGCUCAUCCGAUAGCGCGAGGCCCGAAGGUCCCCCGCUUUCCCCCGUAGGGCGUAUGCGGUAUUAGCCUGGGUUUCCCCAGGUUAUCCCCCGACUACCGGGCAGAUUCCUAUGCAUUACUCACCCGUCCGCCGCUCGCCACCAGGGAGCAAGCUCCCCGUGCUGCCGCUCGACUUGCAUGUGUAGCNGCCGCCAGCGUCAUCUGAGCGAGAUACAACUACUGA
RNAcentral lists this ribosomal RNA (503 nucleotides) under uncultured bacterium. RNAcentral describes it as "partial 16S ribosomal RNA". The record is from RNAcentral.